Acanthopagrus latus (yellowfin seabream) is the source of this 270-nucleotide long non-coding RNA. RefSeq lists it as uncharacterized. The record is from RefSeq and is a predicted model, not a curated record. The transcript is spliced from 3 exons. Lineage: Eukaryota; Metazoa; Chordata; Actinopteri; Spariformes; Sparidae.
GUCGUUGCACGUCAAUGGUCGUUGUUUCCACCUAGCCGCAAAUGGAAGAAGUGUUCUGUUGUGUCUCGGGCUCCUUCAAGCGCAAGGUUAAACGGUUUGAAUUUCACAAAAUAAACCAUCGCCAAACGUUAUAAACGGGGCUGUAAAUCAUCUUGGAAGAUAAGAUCUCAGGGGACCCGGCUGUCUUCACUUCACACAUGUGCUGCUAGGACCUCAGAGUGUGUUUAAGUAUCAGUGCACGUGCAUGAACUGAAUCCCAAGUCGUCCAUU